GACAUAGGUCGCAAACGUUAUCCGGAAUUAUUGGGCGUAAAGGAUGCGUAGAUGGUUCAGUAAGUUACUGGUGGGAAAUCGAGGCCCAACCUCGUGGAAGUUAGUAAUACUGUUGAACUUGAGUGUAGGAGAGGUUAACGGAACUUCAUGUGGAGCGGUAAAAUGCGUAGAUAUAUGAAAGAACAUCAAUAUGGCGAAGGCAGUUAACUAUUCUGCUACUGACAUUGAGGCAUGAAAGCGUGGGGAGCAAAACGG
Molecule: ribosomal RNA, 255 nt
Filed under: uncultured bacterium
Lineage: Bacteria
Description: partial 16S ribosomal RNA
Rfam family: Bacterial small subunit ribosomal RNA
Source: RNAcentral